Sycon ciliatum is the source of this 848-nucleotide long non-coding RNA. RefSeq lists it as uncharacterized. The transcript has 2 exons. NCBI's taxonomy places the organism in Eukaryota, Metazoa, Porifera, Calcarea, Leucosolenida, Sycettidae. The record is from RefSeq and is a predicted model, not a curated record.
ACGUACGUGUGCGAGUAUGUGCGCGUGUACGUUCGUAUUGUAUGUGCUUGUCCGCGUGUAUACAUGCGUGCAUGUGUGUCCGUACCCGAAUGCAGCCGAGUGGUCACAGCUCAACACCAUUGCCCGCGAAUGUGACGACACAGUUUUCUACGUACCAUACGCUGGCCAUCACCCCAUGAACAACACAGUUCAGUGGAGCGAAGCCAACACACAAUGUGGCGGCAAACUUAUUGAGAGAGCUGACUUUAGCAAGGGAAACUGCUUGCGGCAUUUCGUUAAGUCUGCCAACCAGAUGUUUGGAGUUAAGUCUUACAAGGUCUGGUCCCAGAAAGCGGACCAUUCAAUUGGUUACCUUGGCGACUACGAGUCCCUCGUCCAAGAGGUGGCGUCCGUGAGGCUGUUGCCGCUCUGCAAGAAUAAGAAGCCGCAGAGAAUGCACCACCACUAACAUGCCAUGCAUGUAACCGCCGGUAGUGCCGUGGCCAACGACGACAGGAUGUGCUCAUCAGCGUCCGGACCCGUGAACGGACGUCAUCGCCCAAGGAGCCGAGCAGCUGCUCAUUUGGUGUCCUGUUCGCUUUGCCGCACGUCCUUCUGUUGUCCCCGUUUAUGCUGGCAGGGUUCUUUGUUUUCCAUUCCUCUUUCUUUCUAGGUUGUUCUGAUGCAUUACCAUUUUCGUUCCGGUGCUGCACCAGUAGAAUAUUGUUUGGUAAAUAACUACCAUCUCAUUCUGGUACAAUAUGUCAUAAUUAUGUGUGUCUAGUUCUGUAAGCAAACAAUCGUUUCCUCUCCAUUGCAUUUCUUUAGGUUCUAUCCGGUAUAGUUUGGUGUUGUUGGCGGUUAUUUUC